Molecule: unclassified non-coding RNA, 279 nt
Filed under: Kitasatospora mediocidica
Lineage: Bacteria; Bacillati; Actinomycetota; Actinomycetes; Kitasatosporales; Streptomycetaceae
Description: partial 16S-23S ribosomal RNA gene spacer
Source: RNAcentral
AAGGAGCACAUAGCCAGACCUGGGCGAAUGUCCCGGGUUGGUUGCUCAUGGGUGGAACGUUGACUAUUCGGCACACACGGUUGGUUGUUACCAGUACUGCUUCGGCGGUGGAAAGCUUCAGCGGGGUCGGGUGUGUCGGGCACGUUGUUGGGUCCUGAGGGAACGGCCUUAUCGUGGUACCUCUGGAGCCGGUCCCACGGACAUUGCCUUAUUCUUGGGGUUGUGUAGGUGGGUGUCUGGUCGUUGUUUGAGAACUGCACAGUGGACGCGAGCAUCUGU